Molecule: transfer RNA, 59 nt
Filed under: Nepiomorpha sp. NespEL
Lineage: Eukaryota; Metazoa; Arthropoda; Insecta; Psocodea; Elipsocidae
Description: tRNA-Gly
Source: RNAcentral
AUUUAUUUAAUAUAUAAGUAUAUUUGACUUCCAAUCAAAAAGCCCGUUUAGGAAUAAAU